RNAcentral lists this unclassified non-coding RNA (213 nucleotides) under uncultured Clavaria. Its description in RNAcentral is "sequence contains ITS1". The record is from RNAcentral. Lineage: Eukaryota; Fungi; Basidiomycota; Agaricomycetes; Agaricales; Clavariaceae.
UCGAUUUUUAAAGAUGUGCUGGCACUCCCUUCACCGGUUUGCAUGUGCACUCUGCAAAAUCUCCUUCUCUCACCCCACUGUGCACACUCAAGUAGACAAACAGAGUUGCAGAGCAAUCUGUGUAAUUCCUGAUUUGCCUAUGUUUUUAUCACACACCAAUAACAAUAUCAGAAUGAUCUAUACAGUAAGCUUUUAACAAGCUGAAAUUUAAUA